CCACUUGACUGGUCUGAGCGAUUUUGUUUCCGACGAGUGGAAAAUUUGGAGAUUUUUGCUUGAGGUUGUUGGACUGCCUUUUGAUUCAGUUUGACUGAUCUUCCCCCUCGUUUUCGUUCUCUUCUUUGCUGGUUCAGUUGACUUUCAACGUUAAGAAUCGGUGUUUAUCAGUGCUCGUCACCAUUGUUUUUCUUCUCUGUAUGUGUUUUUUUUUUAUUUUUCUGGGGAGUGGUGUUGAUGAUUAUCCGGCUAGAGAAUUUUAAUUG
RNAcentral lists this long non-coding RNA (266 nucleotides) under Populus tremula. Its description in RNAcentral is "long non-coding RNA (PTRE_LNC001120)". Lineage: Eukaryota; Viridiplantae; Streptophyta; Magnoliopsida; Malpighiales; Salicaceae. The record is from RNAcentral.